RNAcentral lists this ribosomal RNA (405 nucleotides) under uncultured Comamonadaceae bacterium. Its description in RNAcentral is "bacterial SSU rRNA". It matches the Rfam family "Bacterial small subunit ribosomal RNA", at positions 509 to 914 of the family's 1533-position model. The record is from RNAcentral. Lineage: Bacteria; Pseudomonadati; Pseudomonadota; Betaproteobacteria; Burkholderiales; Comamonadaceae.
CAGCAGCCGCGGUAAUACGUAGGGUGCAAGCGUUAAUCGGAAUUACUGGGCGUAAAGCGUGCGCAGGCGGUUUUGUAAGACAGAGGUGAAAUCCCCGGGCUCAACCUGGGAACUGCCUUUGUGACUGCAAAGCUGGAGUGCGGCAGAGGGGGAUGGAAUUCCGCGUGUAGCAGUGAAAUGCGUAGAUAUGCGGAGGAACACCGAUGGCGAAGGCAAUCCCCUGGGCCUGCACUGACGCUCAUGCACGAAAGCGUGGGGAGCAAACAGGAUUAGAUACCCUGGUAGUCCACGCCCUAAACGAUGUCAACUGGUUGUUGGGAAUUCACUUUCUCAGUAACGAAGCUAACGCGUGAAGUUGACCGCCUGGGGAGUACGGCCGCAAGGUUAAAACUCAAAGGAAUUGAC